This is a long non-coding RNA of Amblyraja radiata (thorny skate), 281 nucleotides long. RefSeq lists it as uncharacterized. Lineage: Eukaryota; Metazoa; Chordata; Chondrichthyes; Rajiformes; Rajidae. The transcript has 2 exons. The record is from RefSeq and is a predicted model, not a curated record.
UCGGGGUGGGACAAGUGUAGAUGGGGCAUGUUGGUCGGGGUGGGACUAGUGUAGAUGGGGCAUGUUGGUCGGUGUGGGACUAGUGUAGAUGGGGCAUGUUGGUCGGAUGAGACUAGUUUAGAUGUGGCAUGAUGGUCGGGGUGGGUCAAGUGUAGAUGUGUCAUGUUUGUCGGGGUGGCACAUGUGUAGAUGGGGCAUGUUGUUCGGGGUGGGACUAGUGUAGAUGGGGCAUGUUGGUCGGGGUGGGCCUAGUGUAGAUGGGGCAUGUUGGUCGGGGUGGG